GGACAAGAGAGUGUUGAGUUGUUCAUAUCGGGAUACCUCCUUUGUCAAGAGUUGGUUGGGGGGUGUCCCCUCUUUAAAGGAUAAUGCGGUUUUUGGAAAGUUUCAAUACUUUUAGUUAACAUUAUCA
This 127-nucleotide ribosomal RNA is filed under the name Fervidobacterium pennivorans. RNAcentral's name for it is "partial 23S ribosomal RNA". The record is from RNAcentral. Lineage: Bacteria; Thermotogati; Thermotogota; Thermotogae; Thermotogales; Fervidobacteriaceae.